This 448-nucleotide ribosomal RNA is filed under the name uncultured bacterium. RNAcentral's name for it is "bacterial SSU rRNA". It matches the Rfam family "Bacterial small subunit ribosomal RNA", at positions 28 to 507 of the family's 1533-position model. The record is from RNAcentral.
GGUUAACGCUGGCGGCGUGCCUAACACAUGCAAGUCGAACGGUUCUAAGCGCGAGCUUAGGAUAGUGGCGAACGGGUGAGUAAAAGGUAGGAAUCUACCCCUUGGACGGAGAUAGCUACUGGAAACGGUAGGUAAACUUCGAUAAGCCCGAGAGGGGAAAGUGGUGAGACAGCCGAGGGAUGAGCCUACUCUCCAUCAGGUAGUUGGUGAGAUAAAGCUUACCAAGCCGAUGACGGAUAACCGGUGUGAGAGCAUGAACGGUCACAAGGGCACUGAGAGACGGGCCCUACUCCUACGGGAGGCAGCAGUGGGGAAUCUUGGACAAUGGGCGAAAGCCUGAUCCGGCGACGCCGCGUGGAGGAAGAAGUCCUUCGGGAUGUAAACCUCUUUCAGUAGGGACGAAGCGAAAGUGACGGUACCUACAGAAGAAGGACCGGCCAACUACGUG